AAUAAGUACAGCCAUAAGUUUUCGCGUCCAACUUUCAUCGUUCGUCUUAUUUGAAAUUUUUUAUGAGUAGUAUUUUUAUUGUUAUGAGAUGAUAAAAGAUGAAUAGUACUUUACUCGUGACAUAUUUUUUUUAGUUUUUUUAAAAAAAUUUAAAUAAGACGAACGAUUAAAGUUAGAUACGGAAACUCAUAGCUGCACUUAUU
Oryza sativa Japonica Group (Japanese rice) is the source of this 203-nucleotide microRNA precursor. It matches the Rfam family "MIR812 microRNA precursor family". Lineage: Eukaryota; Viridiplantae; Streptophyta; Magnoliopsida; Poales; Poaceae. The record is from Rfam.